CAAUGCUGCAAUAAUUAUUCAAAAACUUCCUCAAAAUAUUGUGAUUGAUUGGCUCCUUAAUAAAUUGUUAAACUGAUCAUCCUCUUAUUGUAAUAAUCUACGAAUAGCGUCUAUUCAAACGCCCAUAGCACUCUUACAAAAGCGAAUUAGCUAUAUACUUGUUUUUAAAGAACAUGUUGUACGAUCCGUAGUAAAUAAAAAUAGAUCAAAUUCAUAAUUUUGACUCUGCAAUAUCUAAAACUAACUGUUAAACCUUAAACCUAGGCAUAACGAAGCAAACUUCGAAAUCUCAUAAACCAAAAUUGUGCACCCUAAGAUAAUUGGAAAAGUGAUUGAAAAAAACCCGAAAGUGAGGGGAUUACAUGAGAAAUUGCAAUUAUCAUUGUAUAUGGAAAGUUUAUCUCUAUGUUUCUCAUAACUUCUAUCAAUUCUUGAGGAUACUCUGCCAAGAAAUAUUAAAUUCAAAAUCUGAUAAUUAGAACUUGAUUGUGGAACCAUUUCAGAAUAAAAUACAAACCAAAAUAUUGCACAGGGUAAAAUCAGGACAAUAAUAGAAAAUAUUGAGGCAGAUAACGAUCUAAAAAUAGGAAUCAGAUAUGGCUCAGAAAUUAGCUUGUGAUGAACAAAAAAGAUUAUUCCAAUUGCUGAAGCAGAGCUCGCAGAAUAUCUUGCAAAGUCUAGAAUUCUAUUUCUGUUUACUAACGCUUUUAAAUUUUUGAAUACUGUCCAAAAAAACACUCUGUUUGCUUCAAUUUUGUCGUUUGAUAAAUACUCAUAUGUCCCUCCUGUAUUAUUUGUUUCAUUCCCAUAAAUUUGCUGUUUUGCAGAUCUUAAAAAAUACCUUUUACUUAAAGAAUUUUUGUUUGGAGAGAACGACUCAAAAUUACAUUCAACUUGGUUUGAAAUACUUCUAACGAUAUUAUCUAUGCAUUUCAUAACAACUGAGACGAAAAGAAUCCAAGUGAUAAAGUUACCCAGAAGAAAAACACGCUUUAAUAAUUUUAUUGAAAAAAAACUAUUUGAACUAAUUUUUGAUUCCAAAAUCCUCCAUGCCAGACCAAUUCCUUCACUGCUAGGCUCAAGCCCAUAAGGUAAAAUUGGAAAUGAAGGGACUGUACCCAAAAUUAUUGAUAUCCCGCAGAAAAAAAUAAACAAAAUCAAAGAUAUUGUAAUUCUCCAAAUUCUUGAAGACUUUACUUCAUAAUCGGGAAAGAGUUUAAAUGCCCCAGGCAAGAUUAUAUGAAAUGACACAGCAGAAAUCACAAAGGCUCCCAUCUCCAAAAUUCCUCCAACAAAGCCCCAGAUAUGUACAUCCCAAUCAAAUUGAAUGCUUUCGCUUUCAAAACUAAUGAAAGAUAGGCCAGCUUCAUUAGGAAAGUUUAUAAAAUAAAGAGUGAAGAAAAGUAAUAAUCCAAAAAAAUGUAUGCAAGAAACAAUACACAAAAUAAAUGAGCCGCACUUAUUCAUGUUCAGAAUGACUAUUGAAAUUGCUGUAAUUAUUAAAAGUAAACAUGUAUUUCCAAAUUUUGAUUCAGGUCCUAACAAAUCAACUCCAUUAUGAUUCAAUAUUAUGCUAUUUGGUUCCAAAAAAAUUUGAGACCCUUCAAAGACAGCAAAUGAAGCAUAAGAAACGCAUAUCACUACCAUUACACUUACAAUUGCUAAGAUUAAUCUUGCUUUAGCAGUUUGCAUUGCUCUCUUUAACCUCUUUUUAAACUCACCGUCUAACGUCAAAAUGUGAUUAUUAUAAUAUCCAUCAGUAUUUUGCUUUGAUUCAACACUCCUAUUCGCAUUACUGCUGCUAUAUAUUGAAUUUACAGUAAGAUGUACAUUUGCCUCUCUAAUUUCAGACUUUGAAUAAUUUGAAUCGCUCCUGAACUGUGAGUACAUAAAUGCCCUCAUUACAGCGUUUGGAUAGUCUGAUGGCAUUCCUAAUCUCAACAGACAGCCUGACAAAUUAAUCAAUCCAACACCAGAAAAAAAUAAAUAAAGUCCAAUUAAGAUUACUGCGCAUACUAAUAUUAAAUUUAUGCCCCCAUUUGUCUGCUUAAUCAGCCCUUCAAAGCUGCUAGAACAAACUCCAGGAGCAGCAAGUAAUGAUGUAAAUGGGAACCAAGAGCAAAGAACUGUGAAAACUCCAAAAAAUAUGAAUUUCGAUGUAUAAAGGGUAUUCAUAAUUUUACUAAAAUAAUAAAAUAUGUUUAGCGCCAUGCAUGCAAAGGGAGACUGGCUGAAAACCUGUAUGUUGAUUAAGAUGAAUAAUCAAGCAAUGCAGCAAACGCUAUUAUUUCAAAAUAAAUUGAAGUUAUUUAUUAAUAAAUCAGAAUUUAAGUCCGGAAUACUGAAAAUAGCUAACAACUUUCUUAAUUUUUUGUAAUGCAAAUAUAAACUCGAAGAAUUAAUAUAUAUUCCGCAAGCAUAUGCAAACUUUAAUUUCAAUGUUUAACGGC
This 2450-nucleotide non-coding RNA is filed under the name Cryptosporidium parvum. The record is from RNAcentral. Lineage: Eukaryota; Apicomplexa; Conoidasida; Eucoccidiorida; Cryptosporidiidae.